UACGAAGGGGGCUAGCGUUGCUCGGAAUCACUGAGCGUAAAGGGUGCGUAGGCGGGUCUUUUAAGUCAGGGGUGAAAUCCUGGAGCUCAACUCCAGAACUGCCUUUGAUACUGAGGAUCUUGAGUUCGGGAGAGGUGAGUGGAACUGCGAGUGUAGAGGUGAAAUUCGUAGAUAUUCGCAAGAACACCAGUGGCGAAGGCGGACUCACUG
RNAcentral lists this ribosomal RNA (210 nucleotides) under uncultured bacterium. Its description in RNAcentral is "partial 16S ribosomal RNA". It matches the Rfam family "Bacterial small subunit ribosomal RNA", at positions 524 to 731 of the family's 1533-position model. The record is from RNAcentral.